CCCAUGACUAUCAUGGGCCUGACAAUGC
This 28-nucleotide non-coding RNA is filed under the name Rattus norvegicus (Norway rat). Lineage: Eukaryota; Metazoa; Chordata; Mammalia; Rodentia; Muridae. The record is from RNAcentral.